Molecule: ribosomal RNA, 433 nt
Filed under: uncultured bacterium
Lineage: Bacteria
Description: partial 16S ribosomal RNA
Rfam family: Bacterial small subunit ribosomal RNA
Source: RNAcentral
AACGAACGCUGGCGGCAUGCCUAACACAUGCAAGUCGAACGAGACCUUCGGGUCUAGUGGCGCACGGGUGCGUAACGCGUGGGAACCUGCCCUUAGGUUCGGAAUAACUCCCCGAAAGGGGUGCUAAUACCGGAUAAUGUCUUCGGACCAAAGAUUUAUCGCCUUUGGAUGGGCCCGCGUUGGAUUAGCUAGUUGGUAGGGUAAAAGCCUACCAAGGCGACGAUCCAUAGCUGGUCUGAGAGGAUGAUCAGCCACACUGGGACUGAGACACGGCCCAGACUCCUACGGGAGGGAGGAGUGGGGAAUAUUGGAAAAUGGGGGGAAGCCUGAUCCAGCAAUGCCGCGUGAGUGAUGAAGGCCUUAGGGUUGUAAAGCUCUUUUACCCGGGAUGAUAAUGACAGUACCGGGAGAAUAAGCUCCGGCUAACUCCGUG